UACUCUGCUGGAGUUCGACAUUGCAAAUAAAGGUCUUUAUCCCCGGCGGUUCUACAAAAUUAGUUCUGCAGGGAUUCUGGUUGAAAGAAGCGUUAAAGUGGGCCUUGUAGGAGUCAGCAAUAAUCCAAUUUUACAUGGGUGCAGGUGGCUGCCUGUGUCUAGCGCUUUCACACAUCUCAUAUCUUCAUCCACGCCGUGGGUAUUUUUUUUCCACGGUGUGUUUCUGUUGCUGCCUCCAGUAUAUUGCUUAAUCAUCCUACCUGGGUUGAGUUUGUGCAUCGAUUGUGAACACAACAGGCAGCAGGCUAUAAUGGUGGUCCUGGCUGGAGUAGUUUUCACAGACUUCAGUAAUCUGUGGAGAUGAUAAUGUCUGUGCCUAUCAGAUAAAGGCAAACCAGUGCUCAGAGGAACCCAACCAUCUCUGAAUUGAGACCAGAGAGCUGUCUCUAUGGAUAGUCCUUAGAGAAGGCAUUUCGGAACACAGUAAACAGCAGCCUGGUGACUCCGAUUACAGGGCCAGUUGCCUUUGUUACAAUAAAAGCAAGUCAUCUACA
Molecule: long non-coding RNA, 554 nt
Filed under: Homo sapiens (human)
Lineage: Eukaryota; Metazoa; Chordata; Mammalia; Primates; Hominidae
Description: HSALNT0029374
Source: RNAcentral